This 418-nucleotide unclassified non-coding RNA is filed under the name fungal sp. Its description in RNAcentral is "partial internal transcribed spacer region". The stretch from base 1 to 46 matches the Rfam family "Eukaryotic small subunit ribosomal RNA", at positions 1786 to 1831 of the family's 1831-position model. Lineage: Eukaryota; Fungi. The record is from RNAcentral.
AAGUCGUAACAAGGUUUCCGUAGGUGAACCUGCGGAAGGAUCAUUAUUACGUAUCCACGUAUCAAACCAAAUCGUGAACUGUUUCCCAUCUAUUGAGGACUUUCUGCGAGUGUUCGUGUUCUAAAUGGCACGGUGGAGACGUGGGCUAGCAAAUGGCUUUCGAGCUUUUGUUGGUACUUGUCGAAAAGAAGGCACUCGGUCCUGAAGGAUCAACUAAACAUUGAUCUUUCAGCUCAUUGGAUGUGGUUAUUUCUCUUCUUGCCACUGUGCUUCACACACAAUUAACCCCUUGUAACAAAUUGAACUAACUUUACGGAGGUGUAGAAGAGCGCAAGCUUUUUGAAACUCUGGAAAAACCGAAAUUUAAGAACAACUCUUAACAACGGAUAUCUUGGUUCUCGUAUCGAUGAAGAACGCC